CGGGACGGGUGAGUAACACGUGAGCAACCUGCCUUUCAGAGGGGAAUAACGUUUGGAAACGAACGCUAAUACCGCAUAACAUUGGGGAUAUGGCAUCAUGACCCAAUCAAAGAUUUUAUCGCUCGAAGAUGGGCUCGCGUCCGAUUAGGUAGUUGGUGAGGUAACGGCUCACCAAGCCGACGAUCGGUAGCCGGACUGAGAGGUUGAACGGCCACAUUGGGACUGAGAUACGGCCCAGACUCCUACGGGAGGCAGCAG
This 258-nucleotide ribosomal RNA is filed under the name uncultured bacterium. Its description in RNAcentral is "partial 16S ribosomal RNA". It matches the Rfam family "Bacterial small subunit ribosomal RNA", at positions 98 to 354 of the family's 1533-position model. The record is from RNAcentral.